This 356-nucleotide ribosomal RNA is filed under the name uncultured bacterium. RNAcentral's name for it is "bacterial SSU rRNA". It matches the Rfam family "Bacterial small subunit ribosomal RNA", at positions 165 to 507 of the family's 1533-position model. The record is from RNAcentral.
AAUACCGGAUAAUAUUUCGAACUGCAUGGUUCGAUAGUAGAAGAAUGGCUUUGCUAUCACUUAUAGAUGGACCUGCGCCGUAUUAGCUAGUUGGUAAGGUAACGGCUUACCAAGGCAACGAUACGUAGCCGACCUGAGAGGGUGAUCGGCCACACUGGAACUGAGACACGGUCCAGACUCCUACGGGAGGCAGCAGUAGGGAAUCUUCCGCAAUGGGCGAAAGCCUGACGGAGCAACGCCGCGUGAGUGAUGAAGGUCUUCGGAUCGUAAAACUCUGUUAUUAGGGAAGAACAAACGUGUAAGUAACUGUGCACGUCUUGACGGUACCUAAUCAGAAAGCCACGGCUAACUACGUG